GACAGAGGGGGCAAGCGUUGCUCGGAAUCACUGGGCGUAAAGGGCGCGUAGGCGGGAGGGCAAGUCGGUCGUGAAAUCCUUCGGCUCAACCGAAGAACGUCGGCCGAUACUGCCGUUCUUGAGGGAUGCAGAGGAGAUUGGAAUUCCCGGUGUAGCAGUGAAAUGCGUAGAGAUCGGGAGGAACAUCAGUUGCGAAGGCGGCUCUCUGGACCAGCACUGACACUGAGGCACGAAAGCGUGGGGAGCAAACAGG
This 253-nucleotide ribosomal RNA is filed under the name uncultured bacterium. RNAcentral describes it as "partial 16S ribosomal RNA". It matches the Rfam family "Bacterial small subunit ribosomal RNA", at positions 524 to 776 of the family's 1533-position model. The record is from RNAcentral.